This 477-nucleotide ribosomal RNA is filed under the name uncultured bacterium. Its description in RNAcentral is "partial 16S ribosomal RNA". It matches the Rfam family "Bacterial small subunit ribosomal RNA", at positions 28 to 507 of the family's 1533-position model. The record is from RNAcentral.
GAUUAACGCUGGCGGCGUGCAUAACACAUGCAAGUCGAACGAUGAAACUUAAAUGAUUUCUUCGGAAUGAACUUAAGUGGAUUAGUGGCGGACGGGUGAGUAACGCGUGAGUAACCUGCCUUACACAAGGGGAUAGCCGUUGGAAACGACGAAUAAUACCCUAUGAUGUUUCUAUCUCGCAUGAGAUAUUAACCAAAGUGUUAGCGGUGUAAGAUGGACUUGCGUCUGAUUAGCUAGUUGGUGAGAAAAAAGCCCACCAAGGCAACGAUCAGUAGCCGGCUUGAGAGAGUGUACGGCCACAUUGGGACUGAGACACGGCCCAGACUCCUACGGGAGGCAGCAGUGGGGAAUUUUGCACAAUGGGGGAAACCCUGAUGCAGCGACGCCGCGUGAUUUAGAAGGCCUUCGGGUUGUAAAAAUCUUUUGUAUAGGAAGAAAAUGACAGUACUAUACGAAUAAGGUCCGGCUAAUUACGUG